CUCUGGGUUGAAAUAACAUUCAGGGCGGAAGGAG
Molecule: non-coding RNA, 34 nt
Organism: Haloplasma contractile SSD-17B
Lineage: Bacteria; Bacillati; Mycoplasmatota; Mollicutes; Haloplasmatales; Haloplasmataceae
Source: Rfam